This 1213-nucleotide long non-coding RNA is filed under the name Pan troglodytes (chimpanzee). RNAcentral describes it as "long non-coding RNA NONPTRT017838". The record is from RNAcentral. Lineage: Eukaryota; Metazoa; Chordata; Mammalia; Primates; Hominidae.
CGCAGGCAUUUAUUUCCAAGGCACUGGCCUCUCUGGUGUCUGAAAAAUCCCAUGUUGUAACUGCAUCAGGGCCCUUAGCCCAUUCCUUAACUUCGGCCCUUAACUGAACAAAGUUCUUUACUUGUUCAUUGCAGUACUCAGGGCCAACCCUACUAGCAGAUAUCAGUAUCUCCUCAAAAAAUACGUGAAAUAUGAGAUUCAAAGCCAGGCAGCCAAUGCAAAGCGAAGCCUUAAUAGCGGUCAACAUUGUUACUCUAAUUAUUAUACCAUCAUCUCCCUCGAGUUCCAUCGAGUAUCCUUGGCAGGUGCAGCCCCGCGCCCAGGGCUCUCAGCGGUUUCCGAGGCCUCACGCGCUGGCUGGGCCGUUAAGAUCGGUUGGGGGCUCCCAGGCCGCGAGGCGCGCGGCCAGUUGGGAUGAAAAUGGCGGAUGAGGCCGGGCGCGGUGGCUCACGCCUGUGGUCCCAGCACUUUGGGAGGCCGAGGCGGGCGGAUCACAAGGUCAGGAGAUCCAGACCAUCCUGGUUAACACUGUGAAACCCCGUCUCUUCUAAAAAUACAAAAAAAAAUUAGCCAGGCGUGGUGGCGGGCGCUUGUAGUCCCAGCUACUCAGAAGGCUGAGGCAGGAGAAUGGCGUGAACCCGGGAGGCACAGCUUGCAGCGAGCCAAGAUGGCGCCGCUGCACUCCAGCCUGGGCGACAGAGCGAGACUCCAUCUCAAAAAAGAAAAGAAAAGAAAAGAAACCGGCGGACGAAGGAAGAGAUCCUCCUUCAGGCAGGGUAGGGAAGAACGGCACUCGGUGACCAGAGACCUUUUCCAGGACCAUGUCUUUGAAGCAUAUCUCAGCUCUUGUCUUCCGGAAGCGAUGGAGACAGAAUCCAGAAGCCUGAGCAGACUCUCUCCUUUCCUGGCUUUGAUGAAGCAAGCUGCCACACUGGAGAGGCCUACAUGAUAAGGACCUGAAGGUGGCCUCCAGCUAGCUCCAGCCAACAGUUGGCAAGGAAUUGAGGACCUGAGUCCAAUAGACCUUGAGGAACUGAAUCCUGCCAACAGCUACACAAGUGAGCAUGGCAGUGUAUCCUUCCCCAGUAAAGUCUUCAGAUGAGACCCCAGCCCCAGCUGACACCUUGAUUGCAGCCUUGUGAGAGACUCUGAAGCAGAGAAACCAGCUAGGCCUUGCCUGGAUUCCUGAUCCACAAACUGUAAGAUAAUAAAU